This 773-nucleotide ribosomal RNA is filed under the name uncultured Neocallimastigales. RNAcentral describes it as "partial large subunit ribosomal RNA". It matches the Rfam family "Eukaryotic large subunit ribosomal RNA", at positions 23 to 616 of the family's 3401-position model. Lineage: Eukaryota; Fungi; Neocallimastigomycota; Neocallimastigomycetes; Neocallimastigales. The record is from RNAcentral.
GAGAGAGACAUGCGCGCAUAUCAAUAAGCGGAGGAAAAGAAACUAACAAGGAUUCCCCUAGUAACGGCGAGUGAAGCGGGAAGAGCUCAAAUUUGAAAUCUUAAAGGGUUUCCCUUUACGAAUUGUAGUUUAAAGAAGUGUUUUCUGUUGAGGUUUUGGUAAAAGUUCUUUGGAAUAGGACAUCAUAGAGGGUGAGAAUCCCGUAUUUGACCUUUACUUUCAACUUUGUGAUACACUUUCAAAGAGUCGGAUUGUUUGGGAAUGCAGUCCAAAAUGGGUGGUAAAUUUCAUCUAAAGCUAAAUAUUGGCGAGAGACCGAUAGCGAACAAGUACCGUGAGGGAAAGAUGAAAAGAACUUUGAAAAGAGAGUUAAACAGUACGUGAAAUUGUCAAAAGGGAAGCGUUUGACACCAGUGUUGUUUUUCUGAAAAUCAAUUAAAGAACUGUUUAUGCUAAGUUGUUUAGACUUUAUCAGCUAACUGUUUAGUCUUGAGCUUUUCUUUAAUGCACUUUUCAGUUAACAAGUCAACAUCAAUUUCUUUUGCUGUAAAAAAGCUUGAGGAAGGUGGCUUGAGAUUCGUCUUAAGUGUUUAUAGCCUCUUGCCUAUGCAGUCGGAGAGAUUGAGGUCUGCAGCGUAGAUCCUUCGGGGCUAAAUGCAUUUGUGCUAAGUUAUAGCAUUUUAUAGACAACUUGUUGACUAUGAUUUGUCUUGUAGCUUACUCGCUUAUGUUAUUUUACCUACGCUUAGGAUGUUGAGCGCAUGUCUCUCUCU